This 397-nucleotide ribosomal RNA is filed under the name uncultured bacterium. RNAcentral describes it as "partial 16S ribosomal RNA". It matches the Rfam family "Bacterial small subunit ribosomal RNA", at positions 523 to 918 of the family's 1533-position model. The record is from RNAcentral.
CUACGUAGGGAGCGAGCGUUGUCCGGAAUUACUGGGUGUAAAGGGUGCGUAGGCGGGAUGGCAAGUCAGAUGUGAAAUGCCGGGGCUCAACCCCGGAGCUGCAUCCAAUACUGGAGAGCUAGAGUGCAGGAGAGGCAAGCGGAAUUCCUAGUGUAGCGGUGAAAUGCGUAGAUAUUAGGAGGAACACCAGUGGCGAAGGCGGCUUACUGGACUGUAACUGACACUGAGGCACGAAAGCGUGGGGAGCAAACAGGAUUAGAUACCCUGGUAGUCCACGCUGUAAACGAUGAAUACUAGGUGUAGGGGGUAUCAACUCCCUCUGUGCCGCAGCAAACGCAAUAAGUAUUCCGCCUGGGGAGUACGGCCGCAAGGUUGAAACUCAAAUGAAUUGACGGGG